Molecule: long non-coding RNA, 1118 nt
Organism: Sapajus apella (tufted capuchin)
Lineage: Eukaryota; Metazoa; Chordata; Mammalia; Primates; Cebidae
Exons: 2
Source: RefSeq, a predicted model, not a curated record
CAGUGCUAAGUGAAUCUCAGUAAUGCACUAAGUGUUUUCUGUCAGGCUCCAGGUCUGCACAGCCUGGCUGGAAGGAGCAAUGGGGUGUGCUAGAGUGGUUCAUUCUCUCUUCUGGCAAUGAUGCUGUAUGAGGCUAUUGUUGCAUUGCUGUAAAGAAACACCUGAGCUGGGUAAUUUAUAAAGAAAAGAGAUUUAAUUGACUCACAGUUCUGCAUGGCUGGGGAGGCCUCAGGGAACUUAUGGUCAUGGCACCUCUUCACAGAAUGGCAGGAGACAGAAUGAGUGCCAACAGGGGGAAAUGCCAGACACUUACAAAACCAUCAGACCUCAUGAGAACUCACUCGCUAUUGUGAGAACAGCCGGGGGGAACCGCCCCCAUGGUCCAAUGACCACCACUUGGUCCUGCCUUUGACACAUGGGAAUUAUUACAACUCAAGGUGAGAUGUGGGUGGGAAGGCAGAGGCAAACCUUAUCGCUCAGGUUCCCUCUAACUAAUGUGUAAAAAGGCCUCAGGGCAAUGUUUAUAACGUAGCUAUCACUCAAGAAAUGUUGCUGUUAUUAUGAUCAUUUUCAUCAUACAGUUAUUAUUCUGGGACAGCCAAAGCCUGCACCAUCUAUUCCAGCAUAUUUCAUGUUUUAAAAGUAGACCACUGUUUCAUUCGAAAGGAAUGACUUGCCAAGAUUUAAAUUUCAAGUACUUUGACACCUAGGGGGAUUUCCACCAUGUUGAGGCUGUAGGGGGUACAAGGCCCCUCCUUUCUGGUGCCUCUCCACCCUGCUCAGUGCCCCAGGAGGCCGACUGGCGGAAACUCCCUUGCCCGGUGGUGUCUGACUGUGUUUGGCCAGUGGGAGGCACUGGCAGGAGUUGGAGGACAGAGAGAAGUGAGGCCAGAGCAUUUGCACCCCACCUCCCUGCCCACCCAUUCCCUGAGCUGAAGCUAGAGCUUCCGCCAGCCUGCCUCGCCAUUCAGCCACCCCUCCCAAGUUGCAGGGCCUGCUUUCCUUUUGCAUCUUCCUCAAGCCUGGAAGGGGGAAUGACUUCCCAAUUACUCUAGUUACUAGCCCUGGGUACUACACUAUCCUUGGGUGGUUUCCCUAAAUGUUGUCCAUGGCUUCAA